RNAcentral lists this long non-coding RNA (426 nucleotides) under Zostera marina. RNAcentral describes it as "long non-coding RNA (ZMAR_LNC005566)". The record is from RNAcentral. Lineage: Eukaryota; Viridiplantae; Streptophyta; Magnoliopsida; Alismatales; Zosteraceae.
GGGAGAAGCGAAUACCACGUAAGGGAAAACUCGAGGCGACGCGAGCGGGAGGCGCCGGAGUACCGACCGACACCGCACCACCCACGGGACCGGUACUCGGAGGAGAUAAGAGGCAACGAAGAGUGGAGCGCUCAAGAGGAAAGAGGUUACACAUGAAGCUGGAGGAAGUAAGGUAUGGGUGGGAGUCGCCCAGGGGGAGCAGACGAAGCGGGCCCACACCCCCGCCCAAGGAGAGGAGGUCGAGCCGGUCACGGUCCUGGGAGAGAAGGGAGAGCAGGGCGAAGAAGAAGGAGCACGAGAGACUUCGUUGGAGGGAGCGCAGAGAGGCCGGAGAAGGAGCGUGCGGAAAGGGAGAGCAAGCGAGAGAGGGUGCAACUCGUGGAACUGAUAUCCACUCUACAAGAGAGCCAGCGCCAGCUGCAGGAG